GUGCCAGCCGCCGCGGUAAUACGUAGGUGGCAAGCGUUAUCCGGAAUUAUUGGGCGUAAAGCGCGCGUAGGCAGUUUUUUAAGUCUGAUGUGAAAGCCCACGGCUCAACCGUGGAGGGUCAUUGGAAACUGGAAAACUUGAGUGCAGAAGAGGAAAGUGGAAUUCCAUGUGUAGCGGUGAAAUGCGCAGAGAUAUGGAGGAACACCAGUGGCGAAGGCGACUUUCUGGUCUGUAACUGACGCUGAUGUGCGAAAGCGUGGGGAUCAAACAGGAUUAGAUAC
Molecule: ribosomal RNA, 281 nt
Filed under: uncultured Staphylococcus sp.
Lineage: Bacteria; Bacillati; Bacillota; Bacilli; Caryophanales; Staphylococcaceae
Description: partial 16S ribosomal RNA
Rfam family: Bacterial small subunit ribosomal RNA
Source: RNAcentral